UACAGAGGGGGCAAGCGUUGUUCGGAAUUACUGGGCGUAAAGGGCGCGUAGGCGGCCUUCUAAGUCGAACGUGAAAUCCCUGGGCUCAACCCAGGAACUGCGUCCGAUACUGGGAGGCUUGAAUCCGGGAGAGGGAUGCGGAAUUCCAGGUGUAGCGGUGAAAUGCGUAGAUAUCUGGAGGAACACCGGUGGCGAAGGCGGCAUCCUGGACCGGUAUUGACGCUGAGGCGCGAAAGCGUGGGGAGCAAACAGG
This 253-nucleotide ribosomal RNA is filed under the name uncultured bacterium. RNAcentral describes it as "partial 16S ribosomal RNA". It matches the Rfam family "Bacterial small subunit ribosomal RNA", at positions 524 to 776 of the family's 1533-position model. The record is from RNAcentral.